This 369-nucleotide ribosomal RNA is filed under the name uncultured phototrophic eukaryote. RNAcentral describes it as "SSU rRNA". It matches the Rfam family "Bacterial small subunit ribosomal RNA", at positions 524 to 896 of the family's 1533-position model. The record is from RNAcentral.
UACGGGGGAUGCAAGCGUUAUCCGGAAUCAUUGGGCGUAAAGCGCCUGUAGGUUGUUUAAUAAGUCUGUUGUUAAAGACUAGGGCUCAACCCUAGAUAAGCAAUGGAAACUACUAGACUAGAGUAUGGCAGGGGUAGAGGGAAUUUCUAGUGUAGCGGUGAAAUGCGUAGAUAUUAGAAAGAACACCGGUGGCGAAAGCGCUCUACUGGACCAUUACUGACACUCAGAGGCGAAAGCUAGGGUAGCAAAAGGGAUUAGAUACCCCUGUAGUCCUAGCCGUAAACGAUGGAUACUAGAUGUUGCAUGUAAUGUGCAGUAUCCUAGCUAACGCGUUAAGUAUCCCGCCUGGGGAGUACGCUCGCAAGGGUG